GAUAUCAGGGUCAAAAGGUCAAAAAGUCGUUCGUGCUUGCACGAUAAGACUUUUGAACUUGGGACCCGCCAAACAUGAGAAAGUAGCGAUUUACGUAGUAAAUCAGCGGAUUUCGAAUGUUUGAGAAUUGCGGGAGCUGCUUUGCAGCGGAGCAAUUCGUAGAUAUC
RNAcentral lists this small RNA (167 nucleotides) under uncultured Blautia sp. RNAcentral's name for it is "Clostridiales-1 RNA". It matches the Rfam family "Clostridiales-1 RNA". Lineage: Bacteria; Bacillati; Bacillota; Clostridia; Lachnospirales; Lachnospiraceae. The record is from RNAcentral.